Long non-coding RNA from Cebus imitator (Panamanian white-faced capuchin), 693 nucleotides. RefSeq lists it as uncharacterized. NCBI's taxonomy places the organism in Eukaryota, Metazoa, Chordata, Mammalia, Primates, Cebidae. The record is from RefSeq and is a predicted model, not a curated record. The transcript is spliced from 6 exons.
GAAUGAGGAAGCUCUCUGUGUACUGAUGGGGACAGAAGUUUCAGGACAUUUUGUAGGUGACUGAAAAACAAGACAGAUGCUUCCAGAGUCAAUCACUGAGCAGUGGAUCUACGACAAACCAUCCCUUCUCUUCAGUCACUGAGGAGAUCUGAUGCUGCUGGUCCAAGGACCACAUUUCAAGAACCCCAUCCACACAUGCAUGGUUGUCAACUACGAAUCACGAGAUUUCCACAGUUUUGGCUGCUGCCUUCCCUGUAAGCCCUGCCAUCCACUGAGACCCAGCUCAGCCAUUCUUGGCACCUAGCUGGGUGAGAAGCCUGCCACUGCUGCUUCAUAAGUAAAGCAGCAUCCUUCAGGGCCUGGAGCUCCUGGACACAAAAGCCAUUUCUGGGAGGAAAACGUGGAUAGAGUCAUUCCUGGGCCACCUUUCUGUGGAUCUGUAUGGAAGCUGCCUACUUGUUUGAUGAGAGGCUGCUGGAGUCUUUCCUUUACUAAGGAGUCAUUUAAGCCAGCCCUCCAGCAUCCAAAAAAGAGCCAGGAGAGAGCCACAAAACAGCUGAGGUACAGACUAGGUGGCAGUCCAAGGACCGAGACCUGGCCAGCCAGAGGCACUGGGUGGUCCAGGCUGCCAGACUUUUUUCAGUACACUUAUUCAAUGAAAUCAAAUCGAUGGAUUUAUUGAUUGCUUGGCAA